Molecule: ribosomal RNA, 119 nt
Filed under: Gadus morhua (Atlantic cod)
Lineage: Eukaryota; Metazoa; Chordata; Actinopteri; Gadiformes; Gadidae
Source: RNAcentral
GAUUUCGGCCAUACCACCUUAGGCACGCCCGAUCUCGUCUGAUCUCGGAAGCUAAGCAGGGUCGGGCCUGGUUAGUACUUGGAUGGGUGACCGCCUGGGAAUACCAGGUUCUGUAAGCA